UUUGGUUAAGUUAGAAAGGGCGCACGGUGGAUGCCUUGACACUAGGAGUCGAUGAAGGACGGGACUAACGCCGAUAUGCUUCGGGGAGCUGUAAGUAAGCUUUGAUCCGAAGAUUUCCGAAUGGGGAAACCCACCAUACGUAAUGGUAUGGUAUCCUUAUCUGAAUACAUAGG
RNAcentral lists this ribosomal RNA (173 nucleotides) under Bacillus anthracis (anthrax bacterium). RNAcentral describes it as "partial 23S ribosomal RNA". It matches the Rfam family "Bacterial large subunit ribosomal RNA", at positions 1 to 170 of the family's 2925-position model. Lineage: Bacteria; Bacillati; Bacillota; Bacilli; Caryophanales; Bacillaceae. The record is from RNAcentral.